Molecule: ribosomal RNA, 380 nt
Filed under: uncultured cyanobacterium
Lineage: Bacteria; Bacillati; Cyanobacteriota
Description: bacterial SSU rRNA
Rfam family: Bacterial small subunit ribosomal RNA
Source: RNAcentral
CGCAAGCCUGACGGAGCAAUACCGCGUGAGGGAGGAAGGCUCUUGGGUCGUAAACCUCUUUUGUCAGGGAAAAACACAAUGACGGUACCUGACGAAUCAGCAUCGGCUAACUCCGUGCCAGCAGCCGCGGUAAUACGGAGGAUGCAAGCGUUAUCCGGAAUUAUUGGGCGUAAAGCGUCCGCAGGUGGCUUGUCAAGUCUGCUGUCAAAGACUGGGGCUUAACUCCGGGCAGGCAGUGGAAACUGAAUAGCUAGAGUGCGGUAGGGGCAGAGGGAAUUCCCGGUGUAGCGGUGAAAUGCGUAGAGAUCGGGAAGAACAUCGGUGGCGAAAGCGCUUUGCUAGACCGAAACUGACACUCAGGGACGAAAGCUAGGGGAGCG